GUUAAAAGUAAACAUUACACUUUCUCCUCACAUCCAUUCCCAUGAUCCAUUGGUAACAAAUGUUAGCAGUUUAUUGUAUAUGAUUCCAGAAAUAUUAUAUACAUCAAGGAAUGUAUAUAAUUAUUGUACAUACAUAUCCAUGUUUUUCAUCCCACAAAAUAGGUAUUGUUCUAUCCCCUGCACUUUUUCCACUUAAUAAAUUCCUCCGAGCAUAUCGAUAUACCAUAAUUUAACCUGUCCAUUAUAAAUCAUUAUAACAUUUCCAAUUUGUGCAUUAUAAAUAGCUAUGCAGUGAACACCCUUGUACAUAAUUUUUAGCAUAUCCAAGAUAAGACUGACUAAAGAAUAAAUUGCUAAGUAAAAGGGGUUCCCGUUGUGGCUCAGCAGAAACAAAUCUGACUAGCAUCCAUGAGGACGCAGGUUUGAUCCCUGGCCUUGCUCAGUGGGUUAAGGAUCUGUCCUCAGGGAUACUAGUUGGAUUCAUUACCCGCUGAGCCACAACAGGAACUCCAGGAGCUAUUUUUAUGGCUUCAAUAAAGCCAGGAUUUUCUGUGUCCUAAAAGUGUACCCUUCAGAGAAGGACAAACAGUGCUAUGGUACCUCCUUAUCAAUAAUUGAAGAAAUUAAAUGAGUCCCAGGAAUCAAAGCAAAAAAGGAUUUGAAAUUGCUUCCUUUGGAGAAGAAAGGAUAGUUUGUUUAUUUUAAAAGAGAAUAAUGACAAUCUGCUUUCCUUGUUAGUAGAAGACAAAACAAGGGAAGGAGCUGCAAUUUAAACAUAACCUCUUCUAGUUGGACAGACUGUUAUGGGCAUACAAUGUUGACAUGGUCCAUCUCAAGAAGCUGUGGCUACUGCUCCCAGUUGUUUUUAAGGAAGUUGGUGUAAGACCAGAUGACUUGAGCUCACUUUCAGUUUUCUAUCAUGAAUGAGAAACAGAGAAUUCACACUUACUCAGGUUGUUAUUUUUCUACAAUCCAAUAAGGCUCCCCCCCCCCGCCCUCAGGUCUGUUAGCCAGAGCUCUCAAAGUUUUUUUUUUUUUUUAAUAUUAAAAAACAUUCUAAUUUUGUCUUUUGUUUAGCAUUUUUAGGGCAAAAUGACCUAAAUUUCUAUGAGACAUGACUUUCAAACUGCUGAGAAAAGUAACUUUUGCUUAAAACUUCUGCAUUCAAAAGUCCAGCCCUGGCUCAAUGACAGAGUAAGUGACCCAUAUAAUAUUUUCAUGGAAGAGGUAACUGAUUCUGGAAAUAAGUGAAACUGACUUCCAGGUGUAACCGAUAUUUACUCAGGUUAUAGUUUCCACAACACUUUUUAAAUUUAAAUUAGAAAAAGAUUAGACUUUCCUUUUUGUAUGAGAAUGUUCAUUACAAAUUGGUCUGCAAUGAAAAGAACCAAAACACUGGUCAGAACACAGUGCGUAAAUCAACUGUGGGACAGUCAUACAAUGACAUACCAUAUGCCACUGAAAGGUAUCUAAAAACGACGCUGUUCUAUAAGCAGGGACUCUUAUAGAGAAUAUGAACAAGGCACUGUUUUGUGUUUCUCAAAUGCAAAACAAGAUUACCUAUCUUCCACAGGUAAAAUAUUUGAAGUAACAAACAUAUGGAAAUGAUAAACAGUACAUGGAGGAGAGUCAUUAUUCUCUGACAAAGAUGGGAAAGAAACAGGAUCAGGGAGGAAUCCCAGCUCCUCUC
Molecule: long non-coding RNA, 1690 nt
Filed under: Sus scrofa (pig)
Lineage: Eukaryota; Metazoa; Chordata; Mammalia; Artiodactyla; Suidae
Description: lncRNA (ENSSSCG00035047065.1)
Source: RNAcentral